Molecule: ribosomal RNA, 253 nt
Filed under: uncultured bacterium
Lineage: Bacteria
Description: partial 16S ribosomal RNA
Rfam family: Bacterial small subunit ribosomal RNA
Source: RNAcentral
UACGGAGGGUGCGAGCGUUAUCCGGAUUCACUGGGUUUAAAGGGUGCGUAGGUGGGGAAGUAAGUCAGUGGUGAAAUCUCCGUGCUUAACAUGGAAACUGCCAUUGAUACUAUUUUUCUUGAAUUUUCCGGAGGUUAGCGGAAUAUGUCAUGUAGCGGUGAAAUGCUUAGAUAUGACAUAGAACACCGAUUGCGAAGGCAGCUAACUACAGGGAUAUUGACACUGAGGCACGAAAGCGUGGGGAUCAAACAGG